AAGCAGUUAGCUCAGGUGGUAGAGCAUACCUUUGAUAAGGGUAUGGUCCUUGGUUCAAAUCCAAGACUGCUUA
RNAcentral lists this transfer RNA (73 nucleotides) under Chromera velia. RNAcentral's name for it is "tRNA-Ile". It matches the Rfam family "tRNA". From Rfam's summary of the family: Transfer RNA (tRNA) molecules are approximately 80 nucleotides in length. Their secondary structure includes four short double-helical elements and three loops (D, anti-codon, and T loops). Further hydrogen bonds mediate the characteristic L-shaped molecular structure. tRNAs have two regions of fundamental functional importance: the anti-codon, which is responsible for specific mRNA codon recognition, and the 3' end, to which the tRNAs corresponding amino acid is attached (by aminoacyl-tRNA synthetases). tRNAs cope with the degeneracy of the genetic code in two manners: having more than one tRNA (with a specific anti-codon) for a particular amino acid; and 'wobble' base-pairing, i.e. permitting non-standard base-pairing at the 3rd anti-codon position. The record is from RNAcentral. Lineage: Eukaryota; Chromeraceae.